UUCCGGUUGAUCCUGCCGGAGGCUACCGCUAUUGGAGUUCGAUUAAGCCAUGCGAGUCGCGAGUCUUAGGGACUCGGCGUACCGCUCAGUAACACGUGGGUAACCUGCCCUAUGCUGGGGGAUAACCUCGGGAAACUGAGAAUAAUACCCCAUAGUUCACCACGCCUGGAACGGUGGGUGGACCAAAGCUCCGGCGGCAUAGGAUGGGCCUGCGGCGUAUCAGGUUGUAGGGGGUGUAAUGUACCCUCUAGCCCUCUACGCGUACGGGUGUUGAGAGACAUCGCCCGGAGAUGGAUUCUGAGACACGAAUCCAGACCCUACGGGGUGCAGCAGGCGCGAAAACUUGGCAAUGCGAGAAAUCGUGACCAGGGAACUCCAAGUGCAUCGGGUAAGACCGAUGCUUUUCUUGACUCUUCAAAGGUCUUGGAAUAAGGGGUGGGUAAGGACGGUGCCAGCCGCCGCGGUAAUACCGGCGCCCCAAGUGGUAGUCGCUUUUAUUGGGCCUAAAACGUCCGUAGCCGGUCUGGUACAUUCGUGGGUAAAUCAACCAGCUCAACUGGUUGAAUUCUGCGAGCACGGCCAGACUUGGGACCGGGAGAGGUGUGGGGUACUCUCAGGGUAGGGGUAAAAUCCUGUCAUCCUGAGAGGACCACCUGUUGCGAAGGCGCCACACUAGAACGGAUCCGACGGUCAGGGACGAAGCCUAGGGGCACGAACCGGAUUAGAUACCCGGGUAGUCCUAGGUGUAAACGCUGUGGACUUGAUGUUGGGGGCGCUCCGAGCGCACUCAGUGUCGAAGCGAAGGUGAUAAGUCCACUGCCUGGGGAGUACGGUCGCAAGGCUGAAACUUAAAGGAAUUGGCGGGGGAGCACCGCAACCUGAGGAUUGUGCGGUUUAAUUGGAUUCAACGCCGGG
This 915-nucleotide ribosomal RNA is filed under the name uncultured archaeon. RNAcentral's name for it is "bacterial SSU rRNA". It matches the Rfam family "Archaeal small subunit ribosomal RNA", at positions 1 to 922 of the family's 1478-position model. The record is from RNAcentral.